GGGAGUUUACCGUACUGUGUAGACACAAAUCAAACUGUUUUCCAGAGAAAAGCAUAUGGCUUGCAGGUGGCUUACUAGGGGGGAAAAACUCCUCCUGACUGUCUAUCAUCUCUGAAAAAAAGAAUCUGAAUUAAACAAAGGGGCUGAAUCUGUAGCAAAGGCUUUCCACGGUUGUGGCUGGGUGAGGGAGGGAUGGAGGGGAGCUUGGGAAUUCAAGUGCCAUUAGGCUAGAGAAUUCGAGAUGACAGUGCUGCUGGCAGUGAUUCAAACACCUCUUUGGCAAAUUACUUCACUGAAAACUUGACUGAACCCAAAACUCACCCAAGCCCACCAAGCAAGUGUCUGCAACUUUAACUCAUAGCACCCUGUGUCCAAUAGCUGUGGCUUUCAAAGCAGGUGCUACAUACACGUGGAAAGAAACACACACCUUCUGUUGCCUCGCCGACUCCGUUAAGCUAAGCUCACCAAAUAAUGUCAGAGGACAUCAAGCGAUUUGUUUAGUUUUUAUCUUUAUUUUUCCUUGUGUUUCUGAGUCUCCACUAAUCAAUUUUGCAAUCUACCCCCUGGCCAACAUAAUUUAGCAAACUCAUUAUCGUGAUUAGCAUUACACUGGUUCUUGUAAAUAAAUUCCUCUCUGGUUUUCAGAAGGCAAACUUCUCCCAUUGCAAAAAAAGAAUCAACUACUUAAUGAUCUUCUCCUCUUUGGCAUAGCCUUUUCCUCCUAACAUUUGCUGGGGAUACUUUUGUGUCCCUAUCAGACCACUGUAGAAACCGAGUAGCAAGGGACAGUAUUUCUGAAAACCUGUAGGAAAAGUUUUUUAAUGAAAUGGCACAGGCUUAAACAGAUGCCAAGAAAGGAAAAGAUGGACUCCUUACUUUUAUAACUCAAGAUUUCUAUUUUGUAUCAAUAUAUGCUGCAUUUUCUGACUGAAAUCGCCGUCUGUCUAACAGGAUUUGUGACUUUCUGUCGCUUUCUACAUUUGAAAUCAAAUUUCAUACACUAAGCUUGUUUGUCCCUUUUCUGUUUGGGAUUCAAUUGGAGUAUUUUAUUUCAUUAAUUUCUUUUUAUGUGCUAAAAAUAAAAAAUAGCAAGUGACAUUUGCCUUCAUUCUCUCAAAAGCUAUCUGUGGACAAAAUCCAUAAAGCCUGUGGACUGUGAUCUAGAGAAAUAAAAGGCAGACCUCCCUGUAAACAGCGAAUUUGUGAAUGAGGAAUUGUUCAGUGGCCUCUGACUCCCACCCUUCCGUCCCUUCAGGGCCUUCUUUCUAUUCCGAGUCAUCCAUCAAGUAAUUGUGCAUUCAUAUAAGAUACAAAAUCAAAUGACCUGCUAUCAGGUAUGGACACAAGAGCUGCUUAUGCUCUCUACUUCAGGACUCUCAGCGUCCCACAGUCCCGGGACUGUCCUUCACUCGGCCUUUUUGUUAAUGGUGUGGCUUCGCUAUAAACCAUGCUAUCGUUUGCUUUGGUAUUAGCAGAUUUUACCUGUUGCAGCAAAUGAAAGGCAGACAGCACAUCUGAAAGGCUGGUGCCAGACGCCAUCAGCGCUGCUUGUAACCGCGAAGCUUCUGAGAUGGGAUUUACUGCUGUAAAUAUGUACAAUUUAUGUCGGCUUAUUUCAAUAAAAAAUUUAAGAAACCAGUUACAAAUGGCUCCGUAUAAACAGCGUCCUUUGUACUGUGCUUUGAAAACGUGAGAGUUCAAGCCUAUCUUUUUAUAACCCUUUAAUAAUGUUUAGAAUUAUUGUUUGACAGCUUUCAUUGUAAAAAUUAAUACGAAGCUAAAGCCCUAUAUGUAAAAACGAUGCUUUGUGAGAUUAUCCAACAAGGGGGGAGGGACAGAGAAGGCAGCAGUUUAGCGGGAGUUUGUUUCUGCACUACUUUUAAACACGUUCUUUAGGACACAUGUCUUAUACACAUGAACAGAAGAAGCAUUGCUACAGGAGAUGGGGGAAGAACAGUCUCUCCUGUAGGAAAAUUGAUGUCUAAAACAAAGUCAGUAGGUAUCUACUUGUGAGGUGGCUCCUGUCAGUUUUGUUUUGUUUUUUUUUUUAAUCUCUACUGUACACAGAAUGUGAGAACUGUCUGCCGGUCUUUCCUCAUUUGAAGACCUCUGAUUUCCAAACUCCUUCUCUUCCUUGAGAAAGCACUGACAAUAAAAUAACAAACAGACUGAA
This 2173-nucleotide long non-coding RNA is filed under the name Rattus norvegicus (Norway rat). RNAcentral's name for it is "long non-coding RNA NONRATT009866". The record is from RNAcentral. Lineage: Eukaryota; Metazoa; Chordata; Mammalia; Rodentia; Muridae.